This 447-nucleotide ribosomal RNA is filed under the name uncultured bacterium. RNAcentral's name for it is "partial 16S ribosomal RNA". It matches the Rfam family "Bacterial small subunit ribosomal RNA", at positions 330 to 793 of the family's 1533-position model. The record is from RNAcentral.
GCCAGACUCCUACGGGAGGCAGCAGUGGGGGAUAUUGCACAAUGGGGGGAACCCUGAUGCAGCGACGCCGCGUGGGUGAAGAAGCGCCUCGGCGCGUAAAGCCCUAUCGGCAGGGAAGAAGGAGGACGGUACCUGACUAAGAAGCCCCGGCUAACUACGUGCCAGCAGCCGCGGUAAUACGUAGGGGGCAAGCGUUAUCCGGAUUUACUGGGUGUAAAGGGGGCGCAGACGGCAGCGCAAGCCAGGAGUGAAAGCCCGGGGCCCAGCCCCGGGACUGCUCUUGGAACUGCGCGGCUGGAGUGCAGGAGGGGCAGGCGGAAUUCCUGGUGUAGCGGUGAAAUGCGUAGAUAUCAGGAGGAACACCGGUGGCGAAGGCGGCCUGCUGGACUGCGACUGACGUUGAGGCCCGAAAGCGUGGGGAGCAAACAGGAUUAGAUACCCUCGUAA